GAUCUUGAAAUAUUAACUUUUUAUCCCUAUAUUAAAAACGCUGGCUUCGGCCAGUUAUGACGCUAAACGUGGUUACGGAAUAGGCGUCGUGGACCCGGGGGCAGUGCCCGGCAGGUCCACCAGCUUUCGUAAGGCGACUUGCGAAAUCCGGCGGGCCUGAAACAGGAUCGACACGCGUGAUAAAGGUAAUUUGCGGCGUUCGGAAUGAUACCGCCGGGGUUUAUCCCGAAGGGUCAGGCAAUCAUAAAUGCCAACGAUAACUUCGUCGUAGCGAAUGAUAACAACCAAGCGGUUGCUAUCGCUGCCUAAUUUAUUAGGUAGUUAGUAGUUACAAAUCAAUCCCUAUGGCCUAGACAGCUAUAGGUGGGGUUCGGACGGUUCCUCGCAACAGAAUACCGUCCAUU
Molecule: transfer-messenger RNA, 404 nt
Filed under: Micavibrio aeruginosavorus
Lineage: Bacteria; Pseudomonadati; Bdellovibrionota; Bdellovibrionia; Bdellovibrionales; Pseudobdellovibrionaceae
Rfam family: Alphaproteobacteria transfer-messenger RNA
About the family: Bacterial tmRNA, also known as 10Sa RNA or SsrA, is named for its dual tRNA and mRNA-like properties. Its role is to liberate the mRNA from a stalled ribosome.
Source: RNAcentral